CCUACGGGGGGCUGCAGUGGGGAAUAUUGGGCAAUGGGGGCAACCCUGACCCAGCGACGCCGCGUGAAGGACGAAGGCAUUCGUGUUGUAAACUUCUUUGGAGAGGGACGAAAAUGACGGUACCUCUCGAACAAGCCACGGCUAACUACGUGCCAGCAGCCGCGGUAAUACGUAGGUGGCAAGCGUUAUCCGGAAUUACUGGGUGUAAAGGGCGCGCAGGCGGCCCUGCAAGUCGGAUGUGAAAGAUCAAGGCUCAACCUUGACAGGCCAUUCGAAACUGUGGGGCUUGAGUGUCAGAGGGGAAAGUGGAAUUCCUAGUGGAGCGGUAAAAUGCGCAGAUAUUAGGAGGAACACCGGUGGCGAAGGCGACUUUCUGGCUGACAACUGACGCUGAGGCGCGAAAGCGUGGGGAGCAAACAGGAUUAGAUACCCCUGUAGUC
This 440-nucleotide ribosomal RNA is filed under the name uncultured Fastidiosipila sp. RNAcentral's name for it is "bacterial SSU rRNA". It matches the Rfam family "Bacterial small subunit ribosomal RNA", at positions 338 to 795 of the family's 1533-position model. Lineage: Bacteria; Bacillati; Bacillota; Clostridia; Eubacteriales; Oscillospiraceae. The record is from RNAcentral.